Molecule: ribosomal RNA, 253 nt
Filed under: uncultured bacterium
Lineage: Bacteria
Description: partial 16S ribosomal RNA
Rfam family: Bacterial small subunit ribosomal RNA
Source: RNAcentral
UACGUAGGGUGCAAGCGUUGUCCGGAAUUAUUGGGCGUAAAGAGCUCGUAGGCGGCUUGUCGCGUCGGCUGUGAAAUCCCGGAGCUCAACUCCGGGUCUGCAGUCGAUACGGGCAAACUGGAGUACUGCAGGGGAGACUGGAAUUCCUGGUGUAGCGGUGAAAUGCGCAGAUAUCAGGAAGAACACCCGUGGCGAAGGCGGCUCUCUGGGACGGUACUGACGCUGAGACGCGAAAGCGUGGGGAGCGAACAGG